GAUGACCUGCGAGGAGACGCCCAAAGCUGUGUUCAGACAUGCACUGUGGCCCUGCCCUCAGGAAGAGACCUGAACAGCCGGCACUGUAACCUCCCAGCGCUGUGACCCAGCCUGGAGCCUCAGGGUGACUGGAAAGGGCCCACGGGAGGGGCCCCAGCUGAGUGGGUGACAGGCUGGGCUCUGGGGCUGCUGUCAGCAGGGAGGCAGCACCGGACAGCCAGGAAGAACGGGGGAGGGUCCCUGCUGGGCGCGGGGACCGAGGGGCCCUCAGGCUCACCGGAGGUGCAGGUCCAAGGCCGCUGUCAGACAAGGCAGGUCCAGCAGCAGGUGUAGUGUUUCCACGGCCGUUCCCGCGUCGAGCAGCGCCGGGAGGAGCGCCACGAACUCGGAGGACUGUCUCCAGCCGACGUCAAAAAGGCUACGCAGUGACGUGUCAGUCACAAUAGCCACAUUAAAAACCACUGGCCCCGAAGGGUGGAACACCCUGGCCACGGCUCCCAGGUGAUGAGAUCUUAUUGGACGCUGAGACAUGGACCAAUCCUAUGAGAGCUCAGCCCGACCGCCCCUCUCCCUGGAUUCCGGGCCACCGCCCCAGGACAGCCCCGGGACAGCCGAGCAUGCCUUGAAGAGGUUGGGGAAGCUCAUUCUGAGAAUGCCAAGGUUUCUGCCGAAAAGGGGGAGGCUGUCCCUGCAGAACUGGAUGAACUCGAAGGCCAGCAUUGGGCUGUGGAAGUGUUCAGAAGGGAGCCUGGUGAACAGGUGCUGGUAGA
Vicugna pacos (alpaca) is the source of this 770-nucleotide non-coding RNA. The record is from RefSeq and is a predicted model, not a curated record. NCBI's taxonomy places the organism in Eukaryota, Metazoa, Chordata, Mammalia, Artiodactyla, Camelidae.